AGUGAACGCUGGCGGUAGGCCUAACACAUGCAAGUCGAACGGCAGCACAGUAAGAGCUUGCUCUUACGGGUGGCGAGUGGCGGACGGGUGAGGAAUACAUCGGAAUCUACUUUUUCGUGGGGGAUAACGUAGGGAAACUUACGCUAAUACCGCAUACGACCUACGGGUGAAAGCAGGGGAUCUUCGGACCUUGCGCGAUUGAAUGAGCCGAUGUCGGAUUAGCUAGUUGGCGGGGUAAAGGCCCACCAAGGCGACGAUCCGUAGCUGGUCUGAGAGGAUGACCUGCCACACUGGAACUGAGACACGGUCCAGACUCCUACGUGAGGCAGCAGUGGGGAAUAUUGGACAAUGGGAGAAAGCCUGUUCCAGCCAUACCGCGUGGGUGAAGAAGGCCUUCGGGUUGUAAAGCCCUUUUGUUGGGAAAGAAGAGCAGCAGGUUAAUACCCCGCUGUUCUGACGGUACCCAAAGAAUAAGCACCGGCUAACUUCGUG
RNAcentral lists this ribosomal RNA (492 nucleotides) under uncultured bacterium. RNAcentral describes it as "partial 16S ribosomal RNA". It matches the Rfam family "Bacterial small subunit ribosomal RNA", at positions 29 to 507 of the family's 1533-position model. The record is from RNAcentral.